Molecule: long non-coding RNA, 467 nt
Filed under: Mytilus galloprovincialis (Mediterranean mussel)
Lineage: Eukaryota; Metazoa; Mollusca; Bivalvia; Mytilida; Mytilidae
Source: RNAcentral
UUCUCAGUCGGAAAGCUGACCCCGGUUUGACCCCAUUUCUUAAAGCAACAAUGGACGUCAUGUGAUUACCAUAUAUGGGAAAUUUUUUACCAAAAAAAGUGAAGCUCGUUUUUUGGAAUUUGUAGUUUUUUGCAUGAAUUAAAACUAAUUUCCUUUUAAGUGAACAUUCUUGAGUAUAUAAGAAAUAUAUUACUCAACUCAAUUAUGGAUUAAACCUUUUUUUUCUCUCAAAAUGUGUCUUCAAAGUCAAGGUGUUGACGAAAAAAAUUGGUCACAGAAAAUUAAAAUCGUAAUUUUCUUUCUUAACUUCUCGGGAAGCUAUGCUGAAUUUAAAUUAUGUUAUGUAACAUAACUUGGACUAUGAUAUGUCAAAUUUGUGCCAGUUGAUAUGCUAAGAUACGCAAAUGUGCCAGUUAGAUGUGUCGAUAUUUCUGACGAAGCGGGGCCGACGGUAAUUCACGAGUUAC